This 735-nucleotide ribosomal RNA is filed under the name uncultured Corynebacterium sp. Its description in RNAcentral is "bacterial SSU rRNA". It matches the Rfam family "Bacterial small subunit ribosomal RNA", at positions 28 to 776 of the family's 1533-position model. Lineage: Bacteria; Bacillati; Actinomycetota; Actinomycetes; Mycobacteriales; Corynebacteriaceae. The record is from RNAcentral.
GACGAACGCUGGCGGCGUGCUUAACACAUGCAAGUCGAACGGUAAGGCUCCAGCUUGCUGGGGUACACGAGUGGCGAACGGGUGAGUAACACGUGGGUGACCUGCCCUGCACUUCGGGAUAAGCCUGGGAAACUGGGUCUAAUACCGGAUAGGAUCGCACCGUGAGGGUGUGGUGGAAAGUUUUUUCGGUGUGGGAUGGGCCCGCGGCCUAUCAGCUUGUUGGUGGGGUAAUGGCCUACCAAGGCGGCGACGGGUAGCCGGCCUGAGAGGGUGGACGGCCACAUUGGGACUGAGACACGGCCCAGACUCCUACGGGAGGCAGCAGUGGGGAAUAUUGCACAAUGGGCGGAAGCCUGAUGCAGCGACGCCGCGUGGGGGAUGACGGCCUUCGGGUUGUAAACUCCUUUCACCAUCGACGAAGGGUUUCUGACGGUAGAUGGAGAAGAAGCACCGGCUAACUACGUGCCAGCAGCCGCGGUAAUACGUAGGGUGCGAGCGUUGUCCGGAAUUACUGGGCGUAAAGAGCUCGUAGGUGGUUUGUCGCGUCGUCUGUGAAAUUCCGGGGCUUAACUCCGGGCGUGCAGGCGAUACGGGCAUAACUUGAGUACUGUAGGGGAGACUGGAAUUCCUGGUGUAGCGGUGAAAUGCGCAGAUAUCAGGAGGAACACCGGUGGCGAAGGCGGGUCUCUGGGCAGUAACUGACGCUGAGGAGCGAAAGCAUGGGGAGCGAACAGG